CAAACGACUCUCGGUAACGGAUAUCUCGGCUCAUGCAUCGAUGAAGAACGUAGCAAAAUGCGAUACUUGGUGUGAAUUGCAGAAUCCCGUGAACCAUCGAGUUUUUGAACGCAAGUUGCGCCCGAAGCCUUCUGGCCGAGGGCACGUCUGCCUGGGCGUCACAC
RNAcentral lists this ribosomal RNA (164 nucleotides) under Steirodiscus tagetes. RNAcentral's name for it is "5.8S ribosomal RNA". It matches the Rfam family "5.8S ribosomal RNA". Rfam says of the family: 5.8S ribosomal RNA (5.8S rRNA) is a component of the large subunit of the eukaryotic ribosome. It is transcribed by RNA polymerase I as part of the 45S precursor that also contains 18S and 28S rRNA. Functionally, it is thought that 5.8S rRNA may be involved in ribosome translocation. Lineage: Eukaryota; Viridiplantae; Streptophyta; Magnoliopsida; Asterales; Asteraceae. The record is from RNAcentral.